GAUGAACGCUGGCGGCGUGCCUAAUACAUGCAAGUCGAGCGAACGGACGAGAAGCUUGCUUUUCUGAUGUUAGCGGCGGACGGGUGAGUAACACGUGGAUAACCUACCUAUAAGACUGGGAUAACUUCGGGAAACCGGAGCUAAUACCGGAUAAUAUUUUGAACCGCAUGGUUCAAAAGUGAAAGACGGUCUUGCUGUCACUUAUAGAUGGACCCGCGCUGCAUUAGCUAGUUGGUAAGGUAACGGCUUACCAAGGCAACGAUGCAUAGCCGACCUGAGAGGGUGAUCGGCCACACUGGAACUGAGACGCGGUCCAGACGCCUACGGGAGGCAGCAGUAGGGAAUCUGCCGCAAUGGGCGAAAGCCUGACGGAGCAAGGCCGCGUGAGUGAUGAAGGUCUUCGGAUCGUAAAACUCUGUUAUGAGGGAAGAACAGAUGUGUAAGUAACUGUGCACAUCUUGACGGUACCUAAUCAGAAAGCAACGGCUAACUACGUG
This 497-nucleotide ribosomal RNA is filed under the name uncultured bacterium. Its description in RNAcentral is "partial 16S ribosomal RNA". It matches the Rfam family "Bacterial small subunit ribosomal RNA", at positions 28 to 507 of the family's 1533-position model. The record is from RNAcentral.